GGCGCUAUAGUGUAGUGGUUAUCACUUGGGAUUCUGACGAGCGUUGAGGGUGUUCCCAAAACCCAGGUUCGAGCCCUGGUAGCGCCU
This is a non-coding RNA of Trametes polyzona, 87 nucleotides long. The record is from the annotation of a GenBank genome assembly. NCBI's taxonomy places the organism in Eukaryota, Fungi, Basidiomycota, Agaricomycetes, Polyporales, Polyporaceae.